CUUUGAGACACAUUUCUAGCGGUGUCUUGAGAAGCUCGCGGGAGGCACAGCCAAUAGCCAGAAAAACACAUGCCAGGCGUGACAUCACAGGAGCUCGGGGAGGGCUUCUGUAAAUUAGACCGACAGGAGUGUCACAGGGAUUAAAGGAAGAUGCCGUAACUGUUGGGGAACAUCCACAGUUCCUCAGAAGUAUAUAUAAGCCAGAUGAAAUGGCUCCCAUCACCACUGCACAUUCUUUUGGAGUUACAGGUAUCUGGUAUUUGGAAAGAAACUCUCAGUAAGCAAAUGUACUUGACUACUGAACAGCUGUUGCACCAAAACUAUAUUAUUACUGAACCACUAACAAUGAUAUAAUAAUUUGUUCUUAAUUGAAUGUCCUUAUUGUUCCCUAUGAAACGUUUAUGUGGCAAAAAAUGUUUAUAGAUUAAUGUCCAUGCUAAGAGAGUCUGUUGAUGAAAAUGAGAAAGUUUAAUUGGGAGUUUGGAUUUAUUUGUUCAUAACUACACAUUAGAAGGAAGGGAAGACCACCAAUCUGCGAAAUAACAAUUUGAGGAAACAUUACAAAUAGAUGGAUAUUGUUUCAGCCAGUUAAUUUAAAAUGUUUUGUUAAGCGAUUUGAAAUUACUAAAAAUCAAGCCACACUUAUUAUAUGAAUUGAUUGACAGAUUUUUUUUUUAUAUAAUGACUUAACCUGUAGAAAAUUUGGAUGAAAUUGAAACUUUAAUCAACGUCACUGAAGUUUCUAGCUAAUUAAAUGAAUCAAAUGAUUUUCCAGGUUAAAGUAAGUGUUAACAAUUAAAACAUUAAACCAUUUACUUUGUUU
Danio rerio (zebrafish) is the source of this 823-nucleotide non-coding RNA. The record is from RefSeq and is a predicted model, not a curated record. NCBI's taxonomy places the organism in Eukaryota, Metazoa, Chordata, Actinopteri, Cypriniformes, Danionidae.